AUCAUGUCAUAGUCACAACAGUCAAAAUCAAAUAUUAUACUUGACAAUAGAGAAAAUCAAAUAAAUCAUGAAAUGCACAGAUUUUCGUAUCAUGCUUUGUAAAGUUGUUCCAGCUUCCAUCUCUAAGGGUAGAUACGGAUUUUCGACUACCCAUGUGGAAUGACCAGAUCAGAUACAGAUAACAACAAUUUGCUCAGGCACAUUUCUAGCUUGCUAAACUAUGGUACGAUCUAUGACCACGGCCGUACCAACCAUUAUGGUCUUAUCAAA
This 270-nucleotide long non-coding RNA is filed under the name Carica papaya (papaya). RNAcentral's name for it is "long non-coding RNA (CPAP_LNC001752)". Lineage: Eukaryota; Viridiplantae; Streptophyta; Magnoliopsida; Brassicales; Caricaceae. The record is from RNAcentral.